This 989-nucleotide long non-coding RNA is filed under the name Sus scrofa (pig). Its description in RNAcentral is "lncRNA (ENSSSCG00070002628.1)". Lineage: Eukaryota; Metazoa; Chordata; Mammalia; Artiodactyla; Suidae. The record is from RNAcentral.
CUGUGCAAAAUUGAGCAAAUUAUUGGCACAGUCAGCCUAUCUUGUUUAACUACAGAUGGACUCGUGGCCGGAAAAGCAAUUUCACAUCUAAUACCAUUGACUGAGCCAUGAUCCACUGGCCUCGGGCUCUGCAAACUUCUCAUAAGAGCCUUGGAAGUACUAGCCAGGUGUCCACCUGCGGCUAGCAGGAAUUAAAGUUCUAACUGCAGAAUCUUGACUGUGAAACGGCUGCCAGAUUUUGUCCUGCUGCAGUCAACUGUCUUAAUUUUCGAGGAGUUUUAUUAGCUUCACCCACAAGCUGUAAUAGAUUUGAGAUGGCAGUUUAAGAGCUGCAAAUAUUGAGGUCCUGGAACACAAGCCCACAGUAAAGUCAUCCAUGGUCAAACAAGGCGUAGUGCCACCUGCCUCUCUGGGCUGACUUCCUGCAGGGAAAAGAAGUUGAAAGGAAGAUAUCCAAGCCUGCAUGGUAGACCUUUAGCCAUAGGAGGGAAAGGAUCUGCGUCUUCAAACUUGGGGCACAACCCAGAGUAGGGCUUGGCUCUUAGAGACCCCACGGUCUAUAUAACAUGAGUGUAGCCUCAAUGCAGGCCAUAAAAUUCCUUAUAUUUGUUCAUCUUGUCUCAGUAUUUUGCAAACACUAGGCAAGCGUCAUCGCUGACACUGAACAAAGGGUUAACUACAGAUUUACUUUGUGUUUCAGUUGUUCCAAAGCCUCUUCCCCUUAUGGCUGUGUUGUGAUAUAACCUUAGUGCCAUCCAAAGCAAUAAAUAGCAGAGGAGUUGGGAUUUGUCCCCAUGAGGUUGGAAACUUGGAUACUACCAUCGGCUCGGGACUUACAUUCUCCAAACUUCAUGACCAGAGAGUUCUUGUUGGGAAGAUCCUGGGAAAGAGCCUUCGAGUAUGUUGGGUCACAUGCCCAUCGCUGGACCAAUCACCAUGGCCAAGGGAGGAAGAUAGUGAGUCAAUGGGAGGACAAACAGCUUUUCCAG